RNAcentral lists this long non-coding RNA (540 nucleotides) under Capsicum annuum. Its description in RNAcentral is "long non-coding RNA (CANN_LNC004434)". Lineage: Eukaryota; Viridiplantae; Streptophyta; Magnoliopsida; Solanales; Solanaceae. The record is from RNAcentral.
UUGGCCAAGGUAACUUUGUAUCCCCUUUUCAAUAUUUAUAUUUUAUAGAUUAUGUACAAUGAGUUCUUCAUCAAAAUAAAUAAACAAAUAACAUGUAAUUAACUUAUUUGUCACUAGCAUCAUCUUUGUCACUACCUAUAAAAUCUGCUACCAGAUUGUUUUUUCAUUAGAGAUGAAAUAGAAGAGUUGAAGAAGGCAAGCAUUGAUGUACCUCAACUGAUGUUGUUCUAAAAGAAUGAACUCAAUUUUCUUGAAAUGGGUUGUCAGCUUCUUCAGAGUCACUUUACAGGUCCCCUUUUCUCAUCUUAUUAUUCUUAUUGUGAGCUUAUCUGUUAUGGCCAGCAAAUCCACAAUCUAAACACGCUUAUAGUGAGCUUAUCUGUUAUGGCUACACAUAUGCUACUCAAUCUUUAAUAAUUUUAUCCUGUUCUGAUUACUCUUGAGAACUUAUGAUGAAUUCGUUGGGAGCUCCCCUCUGUUUUCAGGAAGGGAUUGACUUAUGAGCACGCAUUCGACCAGGGUCUAUGGCAUACACCAAAC